Scylla paramamosain (green mud crab) is the source of this 2716-nucleotide long non-coding RNA. RefSeq lists it as uncharacterized. The transcript is spliced from 3 exons. The record is from RefSeq and is a predicted model, not a curated record. Lineage: Eukaryota; Metazoa; Arthropoda; Malacostraca; Decapoda; Portunidae.
UGGUGGAUCACUUCCCGCCAAUCAAGGACGCCAUGUAAAAGGAACACAUCAGUAACCGUGCAGACGCUGGACGGGAAGGAUGCGCCAUAUGGGAAGGACGUCCAGUAGCGGUCAACCCUGCUCAAGCCAGCAAGAAGCCCCGGCGUCUGGUGUCCCCACUGACUGGCCCCCUGUGACACUGGGGACGUGCAUAGAGCAUGUGUGUGUGUGUGUAUGCGCUCGGCCGGCACAGGCAUUGGUGAGAGGCCAGCCACAUUCCACCCUUCAAGCAGGGACGACAAGUGUUCAGGUGACAGCUGGUGUGGUGACAGACCACCACAACACUGAUGAGCUGAUAUGCAGACGAGCUGGCGGCAGACUGACGCGCGGCAGGGGUGGCCAAAUAUAACUCCCCAACGCGCGUUCAUGUGAAAGGCGUGAGGCUCCCCUCAUACGGAUAUUUUUUUAUUUAUAUUUUCUCGCUCUCCCAUUCGCUUCACAACUGCAGCAGAACACAGAACGCACAGAACACCACACGGGACAGCAUCAUCGUGCCCCGUCACAGGUGAAGCACGCAUAAAAGAAAACCUGGCGUGUGAAGCUUUUAAAUCUACAAGACUAACUGGCUACCGAAGCAGUUGUUUAUUCUCCGCCCAGUGAAAAGACUACCAUGGGAAAAUUAGACCCUUUGUACAGCGAAGGUACUGAUGAUGAUAAUAUUUACUUCACUAAAAUGCCAUACAUAUCUUUACUACUCUGCUAAAGAUAUACACGUGAGAGAAUUUUUUUUUCUAUAUCAUUUCAUUUAUCAUUGCUUGUGCUUCUAAAUCCCUUUUGUGCUUGGUGGCGACGAUGCAGCCUGAGAGAGAGAGAGAGAGAGAGAGAGAGAGAGAGAGAGAGAGAGAGAGAGAGAGAGAGAGGAAGGAAGCCAUCUUUUCUCUUUCACCGUAUUCCAUCUCAAUAUAUUUACUUAAUGGGUUACCUCUCUCUCUCUCUCUCUCUCUCUCUCUCUCUCUCUCUCUCUCUCUCUCUCUCUCUCUCUCUCUCUCUCUCUCUCGUGGUAGCGUCUCAAUAUGCGCGAAGGCUGACACUUAUUGUUCCGGAGAGAGAGAGAGAGAGAGAGAGAGAGAGAGAGAGAGAGAGAGAGAGAGAGAGAGAUCGUUAAGGUACAAACAAAUCACUCUUACUUUCUCACACACUGAUCUACUUUCUUUCUUAUACUUUAUUAUUUUUUUAUCACUUUUACUUUGUUAUCUUACUUUCGUUGCCUCUUAUUAACCAUUAUAAGACUUCAUUUCACUUUAAUUAACUACUUGCCUGUCUUAUUACUAGGUUAAUGGGAUCAUGUUCUAUUUUAUAUUUUUGUGGAUUAACUGAAUAUUCUUAGUUUAUUAUUAUUAUUAUUAUUAUUAUUAUUAUUAUUAUUAUUAGUAGUAGUAGUAGUAGUAGUAGUAGUAGUAGUAGUAGUAGUAGUAGUAGAUUUUUUCUUGUUUUCUUUUGUGAUUUUCUUUUCUCUUGUUUCUUUUAAAUUUUUUUCUCUUCUCUUUCUCGAUUGAUCGCUUUGUUUACUUGGAACUUGAAACACCUCACUCACUCACUCACUCACUCACUCACUCACCCAUCCAUCGCUCCCUCGCUUAUUUCCUCCCUCAUCCAAUCCUUCCCUUCCCUUCCUCAUUCACUCUUAUCCACUCCCUUACUCUCCACCCCUCUCUCUUUCCCUCACUCCUUAAUUCUUCCCUUCAUUUCCUCCCUCCAUUACACUCUCCUUCACUCCCUCCCUCUCAUUCUCCCCUUAGAUCCUUCCUUUCCUCAUUCACUCUCCCUCUCUUCCCUCACUCUGGCUCAGUUUCAUAAUAAGAGGAAGGAAUAAUCUGACGAAGGCUCUAUUAAAAAAGGGAAAGAUUACAGUCCUGCAGGAGAGAGAGAGAGAGAGAGAGAGAGAGAGAGAGAGAGAGAGAGAGAGAGAGAGAGAGAGAGAGAAUCACAACACCCGCCACCACCAUCAUCAUCUUUAUACCACCAACAUCAACAGCAACACUACCACCUACUACUAUCAUCCUUGUACAACCACCACCACCCCCAACAACAACAACGACAACAACAAAAGUAACAGCAGCAGCAGUAAUAGGUUCAAAAUAUGUAAUGCCUUCACAGUAACAGCAUCACCACCACCACCAACACACAUACAGCAAAUCAGACAGACACUCUCCAACGCGAUGGCACCAUAACACCACAACACCACACAUACGCUGCGCCAUGUUUCCCGGCCCCGGCUGGACGCUGGAAAAAGGGGAAAAAAAGAGAGAAAGGUGGAAAGAAAAAAAAAUUAGAGGAUGAAACAGUAGAGUAAGGGAGAGAUUUAAAGUAAGGUAAUUUUUCUCGCACCUGUCCUUCCUUGCCUGUGAAAUCUGAUUGUUUUAAUCUUACACACACACACACACACACAGAGAGAGAGAGAGAGAGAGAGAGAGAGAGAGAGAGAGAGAAGGUGAUAAACGUGACGAUCUAAAUUUUAAAGUUCUGUUACUACCUAUAAGAGAGAGAGAGAGAGAGAGAGAGAGAGAGAGAGAGAGAGUUGUAAACGGGCUUGUUUAUAUUAUUAAUUUUUUGUGUGUAGAAUUAGAAUAAAUUUAGUGGAAAACUGUCUUGCUAAGUGGUGUGUGUGUGUGUGUGUGUGUGUGUGUGUGUGUGUGUGUGUGUGUGUGUGUGUGUGUGUGUGUGUGUGUGUGUGUGU